GAUGAACGCUGGCGGCGUGCCUAAUACAUGCAAGUCGAGCGAACGGACGAGAAGCUUGCUUCUCUGAUGUUAGCGGCGGACGGGUGAGUAACACGUGGAUAACCUACCUAUAAGACUGGGAUAGCUUCGGGAAACCGGAGCUAAUACCGGAUAAUAUUUUGAACCGCAUGGUUCAAAAGUGAAAGACGGUCUUGCUGUCACUUAUAGAUGGAUCUGCGCUGCAUUAGCUAGUUGGUAAGGUAACGGCUUACCAAGGCAACGAUGCAUAGCCGACCUGAGAGGGUGAUCGGCCACACUGGAACUGAGACACGGUCCAGACUCCUACGGGAGGCAGCAGUAGGGAAUCUUCCGCAAUGGGCGAAAGCCUGACGGAGCAACGCCGCGUGAGUGAUGAAGGUCUUCGGAUCGUAAAACUCUGUUAUUAGGGAAGAACAUAUGUGUAAGUAACUGUGCACAUCUUGACGGUACCUAAUCAGAAAGCCACGGCUAACUACGUG
This 497-nucleotide ribosomal RNA is filed under the name uncultured bacterium. RNAcentral's name for it is "partial 16S ribosomal RNA". It matches the Rfam family "Bacterial small subunit ribosomal RNA", at positions 28 to 507 of the family's 1533-position model. The record is from RNAcentral.